AGGGGAGUAGCUCAGUUGUAGAGCUCAGGCUUCGUAUGCGGAAGACCUGGGUUCGAUUCCCGGCUUCUUCC
RNAcentral lists this transfer RNA (71 nucleotides) under Toxocara canis (dog roundworm). It matches the Rfam family "tRNA". From Rfam's summary of the family: Transfer RNA (tRNA) molecules are approximately 80 nucleotides in length. Their secondary structure includes four short double-helical elements and three loops (D, anti-codon, and T loops). Lineage: Eukaryota; Metazoa; Nematoda; Chromadorea; Rhabditida; Toxocaridae. The record is from Rfam by way of RNAcentral.